RNAcentral lists this ribosomal RNA (336 nucleotides) under Triticum aestivum (bread wheat). RNAcentral's name for it is "partial small subunit ribosomal RNA". The record is from RNAcentral. Lineage: Eukaryota; Viridiplantae; Streptophyta; Magnoliopsida; Poales; Poaceae.
AUGCUAGGACAACCUGUUAAUUUUAUUUGCUGGAAUGUAAGGGGCCUUAACUGCCCGGAUCGUCGUGCUACCGUUCAUGAAACUAUUGCUGCCACUUCGUGUCAUUUGGCUUGUCUCCAGGAGACCAAACUUGCUGCCAUGGAGCAGUUUACCGCUGCCUUUCUUGGGGGAGCUAGGCUCAAGAGUUUUGCCCAGCGGCCGGCUGUGGGAACUAGAGGAGGCAUUUUGCUUCUUUGGGAUGACGAGGCUGUGCAGGUCUCAGAUGUUGUUGCUGCUACCUUCUGCCUUUCCGCUACUGUCUUAGUCCGUGCCACCAACAUUUCCUUCAAGCUCACG